RNAcentral lists this ribosomal RNA (292 nucleotides) under uncultured bacterium. Its description in RNAcentral is "partial 16S ribosomal RNA". It matches the Rfam family "Bacterial small subunit ribosomal RNA", at positions 505 to 796 of the family's 1533-position model. The record is from RNAcentral.
GUGCCAGCAGCCGCGGUAAUACGGGGGGGGCAAGCGUUGUUCGGAAUUACUGGGCGUAAAGGGCUCGUAGGCGGCCAACUAAGUCACACGUGAAAUCCCUCGGCUCAACCGGGGAACUGCGUGUGAGACUGGAUGGCUUGAGUUUGGGAGAGGAAUGCGGAAUUCCAGGUGUAGCGGUGAAAUGCGUAGAUAUCUGGAGGAACACCGGUGGCGAAGGCGGCAUUCUGGACCAACACUGACGCUGAGGAGCGAAAGCCAGGGGAGCAAACGGGAUUAGAAACCCCCGUAGUCC